This 76-nucleotide transfer RNA is filed under the name Pirellula sp. RNAcentral's name for it is "tRNA-Leu". It matches the Rfam family "tRNA". From Rfam's summary of the family: Transfer RNA (tRNA) molecules are approximately 80 nucleotides in length. Their secondary structure includes four short double-helical elements and three loops (D, anti-codon, and T loops). The record is from RNAcentral. Lineage: Bacteria; Pseudomonadati; Planctomycetota; Planctomycetia; Pirellulales; Pirellulaceae.
GGCAAGGUACGCAAAUCGGCAAAGCGGCGCAGCUCAAACCUGCGCGACUUUGUGGGUUCGACUCCCACCCUUGCCA